AGCGAACGCUGGCGGCAGGCCUAACACAUGCAAGUCGAACGAACUCUUCGGAGUUAGUGGCGGACGGGUGAGUAACACGUGGGAACGUGCCUUAGGGUCGGGAAAAACUAAGGGAAACUUGGGUUAAAACCGGAGGGGCCCUCGGGGGGAAAGGUUUAUCGCCUUUAGAGCGGCCCGCGUCUGAUUAGCUAGUUGGUGAGGUAAAGGCUCACCAAGGCGACGAUCAGUAGCUGGUCUGAGAGGAUGAUCAGCCACAUUGGGACUGAGACACGGCCCAAACUCCUACGGGAGGCAGCAGUGGGGAAUCUUGCGCAAUGGGCGAAAGCCUGACGCAGCCAUGCCGCGUGAAUGAUGAAGGUCUUAGGAUUGUAAAAUUCUUUCACCGGGGACGAUAAUGACGGUACCCGGAGAAGAAGCCCCGGCUAACUUCGUG
RNAcentral lists this ribosomal RNA (433 nucleotides) under uncultured bacterium. RNAcentral describes it as "partial 16S ribosomal RNA". It matches the Rfam family "Bacterial small subunit ribosomal RNA", at positions 29 to 507 of the family's 1533-position model. The record is from RNAcentral.